AUUAUUUUUUCAUAUUAUGCCGACUUUAAAUUUGACUCGCUCGCGAAUCGCGAUUAUUUGAAAUUUGAACAAAAAAUACAGACAACAGAACAGUCGUACAGAUUUCUAUUCAUACAUUUUAAUAUAAAAUCACCAUGGAUAAGUGUAUUCUUUUCAGUAAAACAUCCAAAGUAUCGUCUCGCCACAUUACGUACAUUUUAAUUUAUUUCCGAAAAAUCAAUGAAAUAGAAAGAAACGAUGGCUAAAAAUGUUCGAAUUAAAUGAUUGUCGCAAUAAUUUCUACGUGGCAUAGAAUCUGCGGCAGGUAAUCAUUUCACAAUAAUUAGUGAUUGUAAACAAUGCUCAGUAAAUUAGUAAACACGGUGUCACAGACUGUCUCAAAACAUAAUCCAAACCACUUGUCUGGGAUAGAGAAGUAAAAUAAAUGUUAGUGAUUCACGGCAAUAUUGGUACUACUCUGCGCACGACUAGUAAAUCGCAUCUAAGAGAAAAUUUAGUUUCUCCAACGAUGAGCUAGAAGUAAAUGAACAGACGAAUAAAGGAUUUAGAGGCCAUGAUUUUAAUUCACUCAGAAAAGCCUUGGAUACCCAAUAAUGUCUAAUUCACACACACUUAUUUCACACAGGGGAUUAUACUCAUAAUGUUUUUCAAAACUGAAAUAUAUUACGAUAUGUACCACAUACAAGGAACUGGGAAGUGGAGCCAAUGCACUGACAGAUUUUCAGACGUUGACUUUCUUGGAGAUAAUUCUACAGACUCAGAUGAAGCCAUACAAUAUUUGAGAGAAUUAUGAAACUUAAAGGUAAUACAAUUUUGCUGGCGAAGAAUCCAAUUUUAACAACGCAGAGGGCCUCAACAUAUUUAAAUUGCAAAGAAACACAUAACUAGUUUGGACAUUGGUAUCUUUUCUGAUGCGAAAGUGCAUCUAGUUGGAUGCGUUAAACAGGUCGUCGAGCACGUUCCCAUUGACAACGAGGAAGGACAAACUUGUUUGAAAAAAGAGUAUGCAAUUACCAAAAGGCUUCAGUGGCUGUUAUUAAAAUUCUUCAACCAUCGACAAUGGACAUGAUUGAUGAAGACUUUUAAACUAGGUAUAUUCUGAUAGGUACCUAUUUCCUUUAAUUUGUGUACUUAUUUUACCUAUGUUUCCCCCCACCACCCAUCAGAAAGUAAUUAGUUAGUUUAUUUAACAAAAGAAAACUGUACCUACUCACUGUGUUUGUGAAUAAAAUUAUUUUGUCAAUGACUAAUUUAAGAAAACUUUAUUUUUAAAUUGUAUAAUGAAAAAA
This is a long non-coding RNA of Acyrthosiphon pisum (pea aphid), 1289 nucleotides long. RefSeq lists it as uncharacterized. The transcript has 6 exons. The record is from RefSeq and is a predicted model, not a curated record. Lineage: Eukaryota; Metazoa; Arthropoda; Insecta; Hemiptera; Aphididae.